UGAGUCGGCCGGGCGGUCGCGCCGGGCUGAUUUUGGUCCGGUGAGGAAGGUCCGGGCUCCACAGGACAGGGUGGUCGGUAACGCCGACCCGGGGUGACCCGCGGGACAGUGCCACAGAAAACAGACCGCCCCUGCGCCUGGCGCGGGGGUAAGGGUGAAACGGUGGUGUAAGAGACCACCAGCGCCGCAGGUGACUGCGGUGGCUUGGUAAACCCCACCCGGAGCAAGGUCAAGAGGGGAACGUAGUUCCCUGCGCGAGCGUUUGAGGGCGGCCCGUCCGAUGCUCGCGGGUAGGCCGCACGAGGCUGCCGGCAACGGCAGUCCCAGAUGGAUGACCGCCGCCCCGCGCAAGCGGGCGCACAGAACCCGGCCUACAGGCCGGCUCACCCA
Molecule: RNase P RNA, 390 nt
Filed under: Actinomycetota bacterium
Lineage: Bacteria; Bacillati; Actinomycetota
Description: RNase P RNA component class A
Rfam family: Bacterial RNase P class A
About the family: Ribonuclease P (RNase P) is a ubiquitous endoribonuclease, found in archaea, bacteria and eukarya as well as chloroplasts and mitochondria. Its best characterised activity is the generation of mature 5'-ends of tRNAs by cleaving the 5'-leader elements of precursor-tRNAs.
Source: RNAcentral